RNAcentral lists this transfer RNA (88 nucleotides) under Dehalococcoidia bacterium. RNAcentral describes it as "tRNA-Leu". It matches the Rfam family "tRNA". Rfam says of the family: Transfer RNA (tRNA) molecules are approximately 80 nucleotides in length. Their secondary structure includes four short double-helical elements and three loops (D, anti-codon, and T loops). Lineage: Bacteria; Bacillati; Chloroflexota; Dehalococcoidia. The record is from RNAcentral. RNAcentral also lists the same sequence under 1 other name.
GCCGAAGUGGCGGAAUGGUAGACGCGGCGGUCUCAAAAACCGUUGCCCUUUAUCGGGCGUGUCGGUUCGACUCCGACCUUCGGCACCA